AGCCAGACUCCUACGGGAGGCAGCAGUGGGGGAUAUUGCACAAUGGGGGGAACCCUGAUGCAGCGACGCCGCGUGGGUGAAGGAGUAUUUCGGUAUGUAAAGCCCUAUCGGCAGGGAAGAAGCAAGACGGUACCUGACUAAGAAGCCCCGGCUAACUACGUGCCAGCAGCCGCGGUAAUACGUAGGGGGCAAGCGUUAUCCGGAUUUACUGGGUGUAAAGGGAGCGUAGACGGCAAUGCAAGCCAGAUGUGAAAGCCCGGGGCUCAACCCCGGGACUGCAUUUGGAACUGUAUAGCUAGAGUGUCGGAGAGGCAGGCGGAAUUCCUAGUGUAGCGGUGAAAUGCGUAGAUAUUAGGAGGAACACCAGUGGCGAAGGCGGCCUGCUGGACGAUGACUGACGUUGAGGCUCGAAAGCGUGGGGAGCAAACAGGAUUAGAUACCCCCGUAUA
Molecule: ribosomal RNA, 449 nt
Filed under: uncultured bacterium
Lineage: Bacteria
Description: bacterial SSU rRNA
Rfam family: Bacterial small subunit ribosomal RNA
Source: RNAcentral